CCUACGGGAGGCAGCCGUGGGGAAUAUUGCCCAAUGGGGGCAACCCUGACGCACCGCCGCCGCGUGAGCGAAGAAGGCCUUCGGGUUGUAAAACUCUGUCUUGAGGGAAGAAGUUCUGACGGUACCUCCGGAGGAAGCCCCGGCUAACUACGUGCCAGCAGCCGCGGUAAU
RNAcentral lists this ribosomal RNA (171 nucleotides) under uncultured bacterium. RNAcentral's name for it is "partial 16S ribosomal RNA". It matches the Rfam family "Bacterial small subunit ribosomal RNA", at positions 338 to 524 of the family's 1533-position model. The record is from RNAcentral.